Long non-coding RNA from Etheostoma spectabile (orangethroat darter), 144 nucleotides. RefSeq lists it as uncharacterized. The record is from RefSeq and is a predicted model, not a curated record. Lineage: Eukaryota; Metazoa; Chordata; Actinopteri; Perciformes; Percidae. The transcript is spliced from 3 exons.
AAACUAUACAUUUUAUUCGGGAAAUGUAGUGGAGUAAAAGUAAAAGUUUCCGGAAAUAUGAAUAACGAAGUAAAGUACAUAUAUGUGACAAUUCUACUUAGGUACAGUAACAUAAAAGUAUUUGUACUUCGUUACAUUACAACA